GGAAGGAUCAUUAACAAAUCAUUUGUGAGCCCCCCAAGAGGAGGUAAAAUCCCUCUUGUGUGGCAAACACAUAUUAACCCGAACCUGUGCAGUCCUCUGCCAGGCUAGGUGUGGGGGUUGUGGUAAAACGCACUCCUGCGGUGACGGAUUAGGUUUAGGCCUGAUCUCGAUCCACAUAGACGCUUUUUUUGUUUGACAGUUUUAGUUGACACUAUAAAAAAUGACAACUUUUAACAAUGGAUCUCUUGGCUCUUGCAACGAUGAAGAACGCAGUGAAAUGCGAAAAGUAAUGCGAUUUGCAUGAAUCUGUGAGUCAUCAAGUCUUUGAACGCACCUUGCACCGUAUGAGCAAUUGUACGGUAUACCUGUUUGAGAAUCGUAAAAUCAUAUCUUGCACAUACAACUUUGUUGUAUGUAUGAGGACUUGUCGACCCUAAUAAGGUUGAUUAAAUUUAAUAGGUUUGGAUCAGGCUGGUGGCCUGAGACACUAUGUGCUAGAGACAUUCUUUUUGUCUUCUCAUGGUGCGUCUCGGGUCAUUCCAAAGCUAGCCUGUGGUCGAGCCUUUAAUUGCGUCAAGUAACCAACCUUGAGCAACCUUUCUCUCUUUGAUCUCAAAUCAGGUAAGGCUACCCGCUGAACUUAAGCAUAUCAGUAAGCGGAGGAAAAGAAACUAACAAGGAUUCCCCUAGUAACGGCGAGCGAAGCGGGAAGAGUUCAAAUUUAAAAUCUGGGUGGCCUUGCCACUCCGAAUUGUAAUUUAAAGAGGCGUUUUCUGGGCCUAGCCCGGUGCUCAAGUCCCUUGGAAUAGGGCGUCACAGAGGGUGAGAACCCCGUCUGGGCACUGGUGUUGGGUCCUCUAUGAGGCGCUUUCUACGAGUCGAGUUGUUUGGGAAUGCAGCUCAAAAUGGGUGGUAAAUUUCAUCUAAGACUAAAUACUGGCAAGAGACCGAUAGCGAACAAGUACCGUGAGGGAAAGAUGAAAAGCACCUUGAAAAGGGAGUUAAAUAGUGCGUGAAAUUGUUAAAAGGGAAACGAUUGAGACCAGUAUUACCGCUGAUCGUUCAGCGUCUCGUUGGGCAACCUGCGUGGCGUGUAUUCGGUUGGUGGUGAGUCAGCGUCAGUUUGGGCUUCCGGAGAGAGGUCAGAGGAAGGUGGGGUCGGCCUUCGGGUCAACUCUUUAUAGACUCUGGCUGGCACGAGGAGCCUGGACUGAGGUGCGCGACUGUCGUACUCAUUGGGUGAGCCCGGUUCGUAAGGCCUUGGACUACAUGUAGACCCGGGCCCCAAGGGCAGGAGGUAAUCUGAUGCAGGCAGGUCAAGGAUGCUGACGAAAUGGUCUUAAACGACCCGUCUUGAAACACGGACCAAGGAGUCUAACACAUGUGCGAGUAUUUGGGUGGCAAACCCGAGUGCGUAAUGAAAGUGAUCUGGGUGAGAGCCUUGCCUCCGUGCUUGGUGCAUCAUCAGCCGAACCUUGAUGUCUUCUGAUAGGUUUGAGUAAGAGCAUAUUUGUUGGGACCCGAAAGGUAGUGAACUAUGCCUGGAUAGGAUGAAGCCAGAGGAAACUCUGGUGGAGGUCCGUAGCCGUUCUGACGUGCAAAUCGAUGGUCAAAUCUGGGUAUAGGGGCGAAAGACUAAUCGAACUACCUAGUAGCUGGUUCCCUC
This 1666-nucleotide unclassified non-coding RNA is filed under the name uncultured fungus. RNAcentral describes it as "sequence contains 18S rRNA gene, ITS1, 5.8S rRNA gene, ITS2, 28S rRNA gene". The stretch from base 608 to 1666 matches the Rfam family "Eukaryotic large subunit ribosomal RNA", at positions 1 to 961 of the family's 3401-position model. The record is from RNAcentral. Lineage: Eukaryota; Fungi.